GUUCCCUGGCCUCCAUCGGAGUGAGUAAGGACCACAUACGGAGCAGCGCCGUAGCUCGGAAUAAAACCUGCAAAAGAUGAAUAGUUGUUGUUCUGUUAAAAGUCAAAUCAUUUCUGCAGUUCCAAAUUGCCCAUAACAACGCACAUACUCCUACACGAAUAUGUCUAGCUGUGUCGGGCUCAAUCCCGUCAAGCCACGUUCCAAAUAACGUACCCACCGAAUUCGGAGGAGUGAUGUUAAAGGCAAUUUGCACGGUGCGCCACAAAAGGUAAUCUUGCCCAUAUAGAGAAGGUAUUUUUUCAAUAACAACUUAUUUAUUUAAUUUACAGGGACCAAUCACAGAUGAUCUAUUUACUGGAUCGUGGUGAAGCACUACUGUUUUGGGGCAAUCAUGUGCUCUAUACUUGAAUGAGAGCACAAACAAGCAUGGUUUUGGCAGAUUUGGGCAUUCAGUUCAGUUCAGCUACCUUUUGGCCAUUCGGUUCAGUUCUAGGUUCUAAGAUAAUACUCCAAUUUAUGUAUGCACGCUCAUUGUACAUUCGGCAGCCAAAGCAAGCAUUAUGACUUGCAAGUGAUUGUAUUCCUGGAAGGACAUGCUCUCAAAUUGUCAACAUGUGUUAUCCUCUUUAAUUAACAGCACCAGUAUUGUGCUCUCAAAUUGACAAUCUUAGAUCACAACAGUACAAUGGUUACGGUACACAGAACUUCAGUGAUUCACAUUCAAUAUUUGUAACAGUAAUCACACUCAAAUUCACUCAACUACACUCUCAAAUUACAUGAUUACAAUCUGGAUACAACAUUCAGUCACACUAUUCACUGAAGUGUACAAUUCACAUCAGUUACAAGCUCAAUCUGGCAGUUCUCCUGCUGUUGCUGCUUCUUUGUUGCUGCUGCUUCUCUGCUGUCUGCACAACUAAAAUUGCAGUUUCUGCACAACUGAAACUGAACAUGUACAGCAAGGCAAAGCAAGCAGCAAACCAAUGCAACGCGAGGCAAGCAGCAGAGAAAUCCUUGGGGAAGAAUCAGCGGCAUCGACGAUGCUUGGUCCGCGGCUCAACGGUCCCGACGGCACCGGGGGCGUCGCACCCUGUACGUGGCCGCGGCUGGCUCCGCCAUCUCGACGGCUAGGCAUCCUCACACCAUGGACGGGGCAACGGCUGGCUCUGCCGCUCCACGGCUAGGCUGCUCGCGCCCUGAUGGAGCAGCGGCUGCUCUUCACCGCCGGCGUAGCGAACCCUAGGGAGAGACAGAGCGACUGACCGACGAUGAUGGCGACUGAGUGAGGCGAUGUAGCGUCGGACUGGGCCGAUGGGCCGCUUACUUUUCUUGUGUUCCCACCCGAGCGAGAAAGCUGGCGCAGGCUAGUUUCUGCUCGUAUCGUUCGAUGGCUGAUGGACGGUGCAGCGCGAAGAACGUCCCUCGGCAGUAGAACUUCCCAAGUCAGACCAUUUUCGGUAACUGACGGAAGAGAGAGGGAGAACAGGCGACCGACACGCAAAUGUAGUUCCUCAUGCAGCCAAUCAGGAGAUCCACUCUGAUUGAGGAGGUCGGAGAGAGUAUGGUGUCAGAAGAUUCGGCGCCGCAGCAGGCCACGGGUGUGCGCGGUGAAAAGCUGAUCUGCGGGGCGUCUGGAGCGGCGGUAAUCGACGGGGAAGAUGAAUCCCCAGGCUCUUGGUUGGAAUAAGAGGGUGAGGAUCGGUGCUGCUGCCCCUGGAAGGACGCCUUGAGGCAUCGGAAUUGCCCACCGGGAAGAUGAACCUGCAGGCACUUGGUUGGGCUAAGAGAAUUGAGUAAGUGCCGGUAUCCUGCAAGAUUUAAUAUAUGUGGCUAGAAUUCCGGGUACAUGGCCUGUGGAAUUAUAGUGUGAUGACAAUUAGCAAUGGAUUGUCAGAUGUAAAUCCGUAGUCUAAACUGGUAUAUCUAUCUCCGCCGUGGUAGAUGGCGAAUCCGGGGUGCUCUAAUCUCUAAUUUGCGGACUAUCUUUUUUUAUGGCCAUGGUUGUGUGCAGGUUCCCGUUUGUUGAGGAGGUGGAUGAGAGCGCAGUUCCAAUGGAUCCGGCGGAUCCGGUUGACGUGGUUUCGUUCCAGCGACACGCAAGGGGGCUGGCAGUUCGCCGGCGCUGGCCAUGAGUGCGGCCGCACAGAUCUGUGAGGAGGGAAGGGGUGGGGAGGAUAGACGUGAGUCGUCAUGGCAGGUAUCGGAAAUUUCCACGGGGAAGAUGACCCCGCCGCCACCCAGAUGGGCUAAGGCCCUCCACUAUGUGCUCAAUGCCACAUUUCUGAAAAGCAGGCCACGUACAUGCAGAUGCCAGUUAAACUUUUUUUAGCACUGGUCACACAGUGUAGGAGAUUUGGCAUCGACGCCAGCUCGGGCCCAAGCACAUAUAAACUAGUAAUAAAUUACCCAACAAACAGUGUCUUGGGCUGUUGGUUCUCGUAAGAAAGGACAGUGACAUGCUUAGAAUUUUUUUACUUGGCACCGGGCUGGACAAUGUAGGGCAUCGGUGCUAAAUGUCAAAAAGCAAACUUGGCACCGGUUAUGGCCUACAUAGUGGAAGGCUUAAGAGGUUAGUCAGCUCGAAUCCCUUAUGCAUUUUUUCCAUUUACUAAACUUUGGAAAUUGAUAUAGUUGCGGAAGUUUGCAUUUGAGAAAAUUGUAAGGGCGUAUGCAGAGAACCUGUCAGAGAACGUCAUUGUGCCGAUGUUGGGCGCAAGCUUUGAUUCGCUAGCAACCUCGGAAGCGCUGGUGUCAACCUCAGAAGUGUGCGAGGUGUAAGAAUUGUGGGGUUGAGGGCCAUAGGAGAAACACCUGCACGGCUGCACCAAGGCAAUGGAGAUGAGGUUAGCAAAUGUGUGAUGCUGGAGUGUAGUGCAUAGUGCUAGGUCUGACGGGCUGUUUUUGGUUAGUUGUAAACCUAUGCUGUUGUGUUCUGGAUUAUUUCUGGUUUUGCGUUGCACUGAUUUGCACUUGGCAAGCUGAAAUACAGUUAAAAAUCUGGCUUUGUUUCAGUUAAUUAAUUGCCCAUGGUGGGAAUGA
Aegilops tauschii subsp. strangulata is the source of this 3036-nucleotide long non-coding RNA. RefSeq lists it as uncharacterized. The record is from RefSeq and is a predicted model, not a curated record. Lineage: Eukaryota; Viridiplantae; Streptophyta; Magnoliopsida; Poales; Poaceae.